This 2142-nucleotide long non-coding RNA is filed under the name Homo sapiens (human). Its description in RNAcentral is "HSALNT0090715". Lineage: Eukaryota; Metazoa; Chordata; Mammalia; Primates; Hominidae. The record is from RNAcentral.
AGCACCUACAUUUUUGUACCGUAUUUUGUAUAUAAUUUAGGCUAACAUUAUAAUUCUUACACAGUAAAAUGAGUCCUUUCGUUCCCUCACUGCAGAAGCAAUACAUGUAAUAGUCUGUAAGAAUUAGUGUUUUCUAACACGUUCCUUACUUUUAAGUAAUUAUACAAACAGGAAAAGGUGAGCUCAGUAUUUUCUACUGUGUAGCUUGAAAUUAUUUGGCAAUUGUUAGAUUUUUGUAAAACAACAAAUGAUGAUAAUUUGAAUGUGCAGUAUGAAUGAUAAUUGUACUUUUCAAACAAAUUAUCGUUUGUUGAAGGUACCUGAGAAUGAAAGAAAUAAGACAGAGAGAGUGUGUCAAGAGUUCCUUAAAUUACAACUUUAAGCUGUUUUAACUCAUGCUUGAAGCAUUUAGGAUUCAAGGAAAUAUGGGUUAUAGGCAAUUGUGAGUAGUACAGUUACCCUCAGUCAUUAGCAGGGGGUAGGUUCUAAAAUCCCCAGUGGAUGUCUACAAGCACAUAGACAGUACCAAAUCCUAUAUAUACUGUUAUUUUUUUUCUACCCAUACCUAUCUAUGAUAAAGUUUAAUUUAUAAAUUUGGCACAGCAAAAUAUUAUCAACAAUAAUGGAUGAUAAAGUUGAAUGAUUAUCAUUAAGUAAGCAUGCUUCCUCUCUCUCUCAAAAUAUCUUUAUACUUUUAGAUUGCUGUUGACUGCUGGUAAAUGGAACUGCAAAAGAUGAAAUCAUGAAUGAGAGAGGACUACUGUAUAUGUAAUUUGGUAAUUAAAGAGCGAGAGACUACUGCUUCGUAUUGUUAUGAAGGGGAGAGCAGGAGGAUCCAAGAUGUAGUACAGAUGUUUGACACUCAUAGUGAUGAAAGCAGAAAGCAGGUGAAUAAACAGAUAAUGAACUGGUAUCUUGAUAAACAAAAGAUAUAACUAGUUAUCAGAAAAUUGCUUUCUUGAUGUAAGGGCAUGAGGAAACUUAUUCACAGAAAAUAAAAGUCUUUUAGAUGGCUUUAUUGGCUGCAAUGGGGCUGUGAUAUUCAGGGAUAUACAGUGAAAAUAAAUCCAUGAGCUAAGAAGCUUCUUGUUGGCUUAUUCCAACCUUCCUUUAUUCAAUUAUCCACACUUUGAAUUAAUAAAUACUAUGUUUCUGGUCUUGUUCAAGGUGUUGGGGUUUCAUCUAACAGGAAAUGGUGUACUACAACUCAAUUCUUGUGCUGUCUUAGUACGUUCCUGCUGCUAUAAGAAAAUACCUUAAGCUGGGCAAUUUAUAAAGAACAGAAAUUUAUUUCUCAUAGUACCAAAGACUAUGAGUCCAAGAUCUAAGCAUGGGAAGGUUGAGUGUUUGGUGAGAGCUCAGUCUCUGCUUCUGAAAUGGCACUUUGUUGCUGCAUCCUCCAGAGUGGAGGAACACUGUGUUGGUGGAAAGGAUAGAAGAAGUGUGGAAGGGACAGAAGAAGUGUGGAAGGAUGAAGGCUGCAUGAAGCCUUUGGUAUAAGGAUCUUAAUCUAAUUCAUGAAAGAAGAACCCUCUGACCUAAUGUUUUCUUAAAGGCAACACCUCUUAAUAUUAUCACAUUGGUCAACAAGUUUCAACACCUAAGUUUUGGCGGGAUCACAUUCAAAACAUAGAAGAUUCUAACCACCCCCACCCCCCAAAUUUAGCACAUAUCCCACAGAUUAAGGGUUUGGUACUUCACGAGACUGCCCUUGUUUUAGAUGCCAGCCAUCAGUGGAGAGUCCUCGGGUCACCUGCACUUCUCACAAAAUGCCUACAGAUCGGGAAACAGUUGUGGGUAAUGAUUAUACAAUGAUACAAAUGGAUUGUCUGUAUUGCAUAAUUUAAAAUUUUCAAAUAAAGACAUAAGGGAUCAUGAAACAGAAUCCUACUGCAAGAAAAAUUUUAUUGAUUAAAUACUAAACUUGAAGAUAAAUGUUGACAACAGGGAAGAAAAUGUUCAGAAGUUUUUAUUCAUGAUGGGAGUAAGAAAAGGAAGAGAAGAGGGGUAAGAAUUUUAUCUAAAUGGCUCACUUUGUAGAACUUGAAACCAGUCGGAAAUAGGGGAUCUUGGUAGAAAAUAUAGUUCCUUGGUUCUAUAUAAUGAUAAUAAAAUGUGUCUGAUUAGAAUGAAAUCUCCGAG